Molecule: long non-coding RNA, 3958 nt
Organism: Triticum aestivum (bread wheat)
Lineage: Eukaryota; Viridiplantae; Streptophyta; Magnoliopsida; Poales; Poaceae
Exons: 2
Source: RefSeq, a predicted model, not a curated record
UUUGUGGUUUUUCACCAACCGCUCGACCCCCGCCGCCGCCCCUUCUGGCCAGGUGCUCGACCCCCCGCCGCCGCGCGGCUGCCCCUUCUGGCCAAAGGCUCAACCCCCCGCCUCCGUGCCUGCUCGGCCCCGCCUCCGUGCCUGCUCGGCCCCGCCGCCGCGCCUGCUCGCCAGCCGCUCAGCCCCUUCACGCCCCCGACACCCUCCGCUUUCCUGGGGCUGACACGCCGCCGUGAGCAUAGGCUGCAGCACGCCCCCGACCGACGCCGGCGUCCGAGCGGCACCUCCGCCGCAGGGGGUCCGGGCCGUGGCAGCACGCCCCCGGGCGCCGACGAAGGUUGACACGGCGAUAGUUCGUCAGUUCCUCUCGCCAAAACAGGUAACCUCUCCGCAGCAGAGGAGGAUACAUCCUCAAGCCCUAUAUCUUUGUGCACCUUAAGCACCUGGAAGCCAAUACGGCGAGCCACUUAGAUCCCCUCCUCCCGGUGAGCCAUCCUUGACAUUGAUUCAGUCUUGUUGAUGACGUACGAGUAGCACAGUGAUUCAUAUUGUUGAUGUCCAAUAUUCAUUCUUCUUGAUAUGCAAAUUUAGUGUAUGUGCUGUCCAAAUUUCAGUGUUUUGUGGUCCAAAAAUUCAGUGUAUGUGUUGUCCAAAUUUCAGUGUUCUGUUGUCCAAAUAUUCAGUUUUGGUGUUAUCCAAAUUUCAGUGCAUAUGCAGUCUAAAUUUUAGUUUAUAUGCUGUCCAAAUUUCAGUGUACUUCCCCUGCUAUUUUACUGCCAUUUAUCAAAUGGCUUGCUGCCUUUCAUCAAGUGAUUACAGUGCACCAUGGUUGGCUUUAACCCUUAGUUCUCUUCUGUUUUCCUAGGCACCCACGAGCUGGCCUUGUUGCAAGGAUGAAUCUGCUUAUCUCGUAAUCAAUGGAACAAAAUGUACUGAGUAUUUACUAUUACUACUGAAAUACUACUACUUUUUUGCAAAUUACAGAAAUACUACUAUAUAUGAUUUGGGAAAAAUAAUCGGGUCUCUCAUUCAGUUUAGUCCACCUAAUUUUUUUUCUUUGUAGCUCCGCCACCAAAAGAUAGGCCCCGUUUUAAAUUCUGGGCACAGGGCCUCUGAUAUUGUUGGCCCGGCCCUGUCCGUGAAUAAUUCCCUUGCCAAUUCAAUUAUUAUCUAUGUUGGUUAUAGAGCAUUAGAUCAAUUAAUUGGAAGGAUAUAGACACACUCUGUACGUACAAGCUAGCUAGCUAGCUACUACAAGCAGCUUGAUUGAUUGUUUUAUGAGAAGCUUCCUGCGUCUUCGUUCUAUUAAAACUUUGGACCAGUUUAUAAGAUACCAAAUGUUGGACAGUAUACAUCUAUUUCAUAUCAAUGUUUGCUACCGACAUACGUAGUUGUGAUAGUUAACAUUUCCUGCUCCAUAUUGUUUCUUCUGUUGACAAAUCCAGAGCAAUAUAUCAUAUCAUUCCCUAUUUAUGUUAAGAAUAUGGUCUUCAUGAAACAAGGAUUGUAAGGGUUUCUUACUAGCUGAUCCAGUGAAGUCUUGUUGGUGUGCUUUCUUUAAAUGAAUUUUAAACACUACAUACUGGUGCUAUUGCUCUUGUUAUAAAAUUGGUCUACAUUCUAGAAAACUUUAUUCUAUGGAUGCUGCCUGAUGUGAUUGUCUUUUUAGUACUGUCCGAAACCUUUCAUAUAAACAAAGUGGAGAUUACACAUCUGUUUUGGACCUAGAGCCAUAUUCAUUGCCAAUAAGAGCAGCUUCUGCAUGGUAUGUGAUACUCUUCCUCUCAGGCAUGUUUUCUUUUCAGCAUAAUCAUCUCCCAGUGAGUUGUAUUUUCUUUUCUCCAAUGAGGGUCUGCUGCAUGACCAAUUCAUUUCUCUGUUCUAUCUGAUUGGUGAUGACUUUCUGAUAAUUUGUAUGUCUUUUUGGACUGGUCAUUAGUUUUUGAAAUUAGAUACUUUUGUUAAUUGCAAGAGAGAUAAUUGUGAUCAUUUUCCUAUUGUGUGUACUCUAUUCUACGUAAUCAGAUUCUCAAAGGUGUGUUGCCAUCGAAGGUGAAGACUAGAUGUUCUACUCUUGUGCCUGAACAAUCUGUAGUUGGCAGCAAGUUUUUUCUUAACAGUGUUCAAUCAACUUGCCCAUGUUGUAUAUACAAUAUAUACAAUUCCAUAAAACUUGCUUAUAUGUUUUUUCUUUUUGUAAAAAUGCAUCGGCUCACGGUCACUGAAUAAUUAGGUUUCAGAUUAUGUAGUUUUCUGCAGGUUGUCAGAUAAACUCUUCCAGAGAUUGAGAUCUAAUCACAACAGCUUUGAGUCCUUUACCUUUUUAUUUUGCAAAAUGCGAUCAGAAGUAGUUUUCAUCUCUAAUGGUAAUGAAUAGAUUCUCAAAAAAGCAAAUUAAUUGGAAUGAUCUGCUUAGCAUGUCCCAUGACUUCAAAAGGAAUAAUUUGACUAAACUGAGAUGUUGAUCAGCAGUGAAAAGAUAGACAAAAUCAAAGACUGGGGACCUACGAUUGUCCUGUAACCCCCUUUGUCAACACUUCGUGAGUUCAUGAUACACUCUUAGUUUAAUAAUUGAUUGAACAGUGACAGUUAGUGUUAUGCUUAUAAGUUGGUAUCCCCAAGUACUGUCUGUUGUAUAUGCUGUGUAUUAUUACCUCCUUCAAAUUGAAAUGUUGUUCUAAUAAAAAUACAACAUGACCAAGACUGUACUUGUUAUUGCAAAUUGUUGGUGAUGCUAAAUAACUAUGGGCUCAGGAUCAAGGCUGUACUUGUUAUUGCAAAUGAGUUAUUGCUUUGUAUUUUUACAUGCCGGCGGUUGGUAGGUGAUAAUAAUUUCUGCAUGUCUACACAUAGUUUAUUCAUCCCACUGGAAAAAGCACCAAGAAUGUUGUGUGCAGAGAUGUCUUGGAGGGACAACACAUGUUUGUUUUCCAUACAUGCCAAUCCACCUUAUUAUAUUAGGACAUAUUACUCAUCUCUAAUAUUGUUUUUUUUCUAAUUUAUGUACAUAUUAUGCAUACAAUGAUGAGCUGUUCUAUUAGGAUAAUUAAAUUAGGGAGUCUUACUAAAUAAUAGUAUAAAGAUGGUACUGAAGGAGGCUUUGCAACUAGCAAGGUAAUCUGUUUACAAUCCGACUGUGAUAUUUAUUAAAAGAUAUAUGGAUGUUGUGUUCUCUCAGACAAUAUAAAGCAUGCUUCUACAUUCUCUGCUAAAUUUGCAACUUUCAAUGUUUUGUGGGGCCUUUCCUCUCAACUGUAGGGAUUUUACCUCCCUGAUUUUUCUGUGUGUGACUCUAGCUAUUUUACUUCAUUUAUGUUGUUUGUUUUGUCAAUUUUGUUGAAGUUACUGCAGUUGACUGCUCUGAAUUGUUGAUCGUCCACCUUGAAGGUUAUAAUUGCUAAAGAAGCAGAAGGAGAUUUUGAAUAUUUGGUCCGACAACUUCCACCUGAUCAGUUUGAGAAUAAAAGCAGAAGAAUGCAUCCAGCGAGCAAUGAUUAAGCAUAUUCAUCAAAUAAAGCAUUAAAUAUACAAAGGUCUCCACAAGGUUUGCAUAAGAAGCUCUGAUCGCGUGCAAGAUUGGAGCGCCCUGUGCAAUUCCUCGACUAUUUGACACAGCGAGCGUCGAACGGGAGAGUUCUGAGAGGAGGCACGUCCACCAGGUGCAUCUCCUUCGUUUGGCCAAGGCCACCAGUGAAUAACAGUUGUGGAACCGCAUCAUUCACUUGCCUACCAUAGAUUGACGGGCGCUCCGCUCCACUACUCCAUCUCAUGUUGUAUAUUUCCUCUCUUUAUAUCAAAUAAAGUAUAGCAUGUAAAUAUGUUUAAAUUUAGAAAUAAUGUUUUCCCUUCUAUCUUCACUUAUACUGUUAGAAAAAUGUAACUAAAUUAAGUGGAUGCUCUUAUUUGAAGCCAGAUUAUAGGAUUAUUCCUCUGGUGUUAUUGAUGGUUUGAUCUAGAA